AUUGAACGCUGGCGGAAUGCUUUACACAUGCAAGUCGAACGGUAGAGGGGGCAACCUCUCGAGAGUGGCGAACGGGUGAGUAAUAUAUCGGAACGUGCCCAGUCGUGGGGGAUAACGUAGCGAAAGUUACGCUAAUACCGCAUACGAUCUAAGGAUGAAAGCGGGGGAUCGCAAGACCUCGCGCGAUUGGAGCGGCCGAUAUCAGAUUAGGUAGUUGGUGGGGUAAAGGCUCACCAAGCCAACGAUCUGUAGCUGGUCUGAGAGGACGACCAGCCACACUGGAACUGAGACACGGUCCAGACUCCUACGGGAGUCAGCAGUGGGGAAUUUUGGACAAUGGACGCAAGUCUGAUCCAGCCAUUCCGCGUGCAGGAUGAAGGCCCUCGGGUUGUAAACUGCUUUUGUACGGAACGAAAAGGUCUCUCUUAAUACGGAGGGCUCAUGACGGUACCGUAAGAAUAAGCACCGGCUAACUACGUGCCAGCCGCCGCCGUAA
Molecule: ribosomal RNA, 496 nt
Filed under: uncultured bacterium
Lineage: Bacteria
Description: partial 16S ribosomal RNA
Rfam family: Bacterial small subunit ribosomal RNA
Source: RNAcentral